RNAcentral lists this ribosomal RNA (308 nucleotides) under uncultured bacterium. RNAcentral's name for it is "partial 16S ribosomal RNA". It matches the Rfam family "Bacterial small subunit ribosomal RNA", at positions 355 to 680 of the family's 1533-position model. The record is from RNAcentral.
UGGGGAAUAUUGGACAAUGGGGGCAACCCUGAUCCAGCAAUGCCGCGUGUGUGAAGAAGGUCUUCGGAUUGUAAAGCACUUUCGACGGGGACGAUGAUGACGGUACCCGUAGAAGAAGCCCCGGCUAACUUCGUGCCAGCAGCCGCGGUAAUACGAAGGGGGCUAGCGUUGCUCGGAAUGACUGGGCGUAAAGGGCGUGUAGGCGGUUUACACAGUCAGAUGUGAAAUCCCCGGGCUUAACCUGGGAGCUGCAUUUGAUACGCGUAGACUAGAGUGUGAGAGAGGGUUGUGGAAUUCCCAGUGUAGAG